Molecule: small RNA, 213 nt
Filed under: Arabidopsis thaliana (thale cress)
Lineage: Eukaryota; Viridiplantae; Streptophyta; Magnoliopsida; Brassicales; Brassicaceae
Description: ATSL197960
Source: RNAcentral
GCGAUAAGAAGCUUGGUUAGUGUUUUGGAGUCAAAUAUGACUAGAUGUCAUGUGUAUGAUUGAGAAUAAGAACUAGAAUGGCAACCGAUUCCCAAUAGCUAAAGUUAUGUUUCCUUGUUAGAAGAUACAAAGCCAAAGACUCAUACGGACUUCGUGUACACCAUCAAAAUUUUGAGAAGCAAUAAGAAGCUUGGUUAGUAUUUUAGAGUGAAA